Molecule: microRNA precursor, 61 nt
Filed under: Caenorhabditis brenneri
Lineage: Eukaryota; Metazoa; Nematoda; Chromadorea; Rhabditida; Rhabditidae
Description: microRNA cbn-mir-228 precursor (cbn-mir-228-1, cbn-mir-228-2)
Gene: cbn-mir-228-1
Rfam family: mir-228 microRNA precursor family
Source: miRBase by way of RNAcentral
AAUGGCACUGCAUGAAUUCACGGAUGCAUUGCGACAGACCGCGGAUCAUGCGGUACCAUAG